This 2904-nucleotide ribosomal RNA is filed under the name Membranihabitans marinus. RNAcentral describes it as "Bacterial large subunit ribosomal RNA". It matches the Rfam family "Bacterial large subunit ribosomal RNA". Lineage: Bacteria; Pseudomonadati; Bacteroidota; Saprospiria; Saprospirales; Saprospiraceae. The record is from Rfam by way of RNAcentral.
UAGGAAGCAAAAUAAGGGCGUAUGGAGGAUGCCUAGGCUCUUGAAGACGACGAAGGACGUGGUAAGCUGCGAUAAGCUACGGGGAGAUGCACACAAUCUGUGAUCCGUAGAUGUCCGAAUGGGGAAACCCGUCAUGUUGAAGACAUGACACUCAUCGCAAGAUGAGGGGAAACCCGGGGAACUGAAACAUCUAAGUACCCGGAGGAAGAGAAAACAAUAGUGAUUUCGCAAGUAGUGGCGAGCGAACGCGAAUUAGCCCAAACCAUGAUGCAUUGCAUCAUGGGGUUGUAGGACUGACAUCACUGUACUGACUAUUAAGAAGAAUGAUCUGGAAAGUUCAACCAAAGAGGGUGAUAGUCCCGUAUUUAUAGUAUAGUCAAUACAAGUCAGUAUCCUGAGUAGCACGGGACCGGAGAAAUCCUGUGUGAAUCUACCAGCACCAUCUGGUAAGGCUAAAUACUUUCAAGAGACCGAUAGUGAACCAGUACCGUGAGGGAAAGGUGAAAAGAACCCCGAACAGGGGAGUGAAAAGAUCCUGAAACCAUACGCUUACAAGCGGUCGGAGUCCCCAACUGUGUUGGGGAUGACGGCGUGCCUUUUGCAUAAUGAGCCUACGAGUUACUCCUCACUAGCCAGUUUAAUCCGUUUAGCGGAGUAGGCGCAGCGAAAGCGAGUCUUAACAGGGCGACAGCUAGUGGGGGUAGACGCGAAACCAAGUGAUCUACCCAUGGGCAGGUUGAAGUUCCGAUAGUCUCGGAAUGGAGGACCGAACCAGUAGACGUUGAAAAGUCUUUGGAUGACCUGUGGGUAGGGGUGAAAGGCCAAUCAAACUUGGAAAUAGCUCGUACUCCCCGAAAUGCAUUUAGGUGCAGCGUUGUGUAGAGUGCCAUGGAGGUAGAGCUACCAAUUGGGCUAGGGGGCUUCACCGCCUACCAAACCCUGAUGAACUCCGAAUUCCAUGACACUGCAGCAACAGUGAGGCUAUGGGUGCUAAGGUCCAUAGCCAAGAGGGAAACAACCCAGACCAACAGCUAAGGUCCCAAAGUGUAUAUUAAGUUGAAUUAAACGAGGUGCGGAUGCAUUGACAGCUAGGAUGUUUGCUUGGAAGCAGCAAUUCAUUUAAAGAGUGCGUAACAGCUCACUAGUCGAGCGUCUGUGCGCGGAAAAUAAUCGGGCAUCAAAUAUACCACCGAAGCUUUGGAUUUAUCUUGUUUUCGAACGAGAUAAGUGGUAGGGGAGCAUUCUGCUCACGUCGAAGGUCUGUCGCGAGAUGGGCUGGAGUGUGUAGAAAAGAAAAUGUAGGCAUGAGUAACGAUAAAAUGGGUGAGAAACCCAUUCGCCGAAAGACUAAGGUUUCCUCGAUCUAUGCUAAUCAGAUCAGGGUUAGUCGGGUCCUAAGGUGUAGCCGAAAGGCGAAGCCGAUGGCAAACGGGUUAAUAUUCCCGUACCUGUAUAUAUUGCGAUGAGAGGACGGAGUCACGUAAGGCCCGGGCUGUGACGGAAUACAGCCUUGAAGUACGUAGGUGUUGAUCUGGUAGGAAAAUCCGCCAGUGAACUGAAAUACGAUAGUACACCAAUCCCUCUGGGAGCGGUGAUAGUGGUCCCAAGUAUACUCCCAAGAAAAGUCUCUAAGCUUCAGAUAUAUACAGCCCGUACCUCAAACCGACACAGGUAGUCGAGAUGAGUAUUCUAAGGCGCUCGAGUGAUUCGUGGUUAAGGAACUAGGCAAAUUAGCCCCGUAACUUUGGAAGAAGGGGCGCUCCAUAUUUAUUUGGAGCCGCAGUGAAAUGGCCCAGGCAACUGUUUAGCAAAAACACAGGACUCUGCAAAAUCGUAAGACGAUGUAUAGGGUCUGACACCUGCCCGGUGCUGGAAGGUUAAGGAAGGGAGUUAUCUUCGGAGAAGCUCUUGACCGAAGCCCCAGUAAACGGCGGCCGUAACUAUAACGGUCCUAAGGUAGCGAAAUUCCUUGUCGGGUAAGUUCCGACCUGCACGAAUGGUGUAAUGAUCUGGGCACUGUCUCAACCACGAGCUCGGUGAAAUUGAAGUAUCGGUGAAGAUGCCGAUUACCCGCAACGGGACGAAAAGACCCCGUGAACCUUUACUACAACUUCACAUUGGUCUAGGAUAUAGAAUGUGCAGGAUAGGUGGGAGACGUUGAAGCCAUGCCGCUAGGUGUGGUGGAGUCGCCGUUGGAAUACCACCCUUUCUAUAUCUUGGUUCUAACCCCCUGACGGGGGGACAUUGUGUGGUGGGUAGUUUGACUGGGGUGGUCGCCUCCUAAAAAGUAACGGAGGCUCGCAAAGGUACCCUCAGUAUCGUUGGUAAUGAUACGAAGAGCGUAUUAGUAUAAGGGUGCUUGACUGUGAGAGAGACAUCUCGAUCAGGUGCGAAAGCAGGCUAAAGUGAUCCGGUGAUCCAUCAUGGAUUGGUCAUCGCUCAAAGGAUAAAAGGUACUCCGGGGAUAACAGGCUAAUCUCCCCCAAGAGCUCACAUCGACGGGGAGGUUUGGCACCUCGAUGUCGGCUCGUCGCAUCCUGGGGCUGGAGAAGGUCCCAAGGGUUGGGCUGUUCGCCCAUUAAAGCGGCACGCGAGCUGGGUUCAGAACGUCGCAAGACAGUUCGGUCUCUAUCUGUUGUGGGCGCGGGAAUAUUGAAGAGAUCUGACUCUAGUACGAGAGGACCGAGUUGGACGUACCUCUAGUGUACCUGUUGUGACGCCAGUCGCAUCGCAGGGUAGCUAUGUACGGCAUGGAUAAGCACUGAAAGCAUCUAAGUGCGAAGCCAUCUCUAAGAUGAGUAUUCCUCUACAGGGUCGUAGUAGACGACUACGUUGAUAGGCUAUAGGUGGAAGUGCAGCGAUGUGCGGAGCCGAGUAGUACUAAUUACCCGAACGCUUCCUUUU